GGUAAAAUGACUGAUAAUAGGUGAUAGAUUGUAAAUCUAUUUAUGAGUGAAUAAUCUCUUUUACCA
This 66-nucleotide transfer RNA is filed under the name China mantispoides. RNAcentral describes it as "tRNA-Tyr". The record is from RNAcentral. Lineage: Eukaryota; Metazoa; Arthropoda; Insecta; Orthoptera; Chorotypidae.